CGGGUAGCCGGCCUGAGAGGGCGACCGGCCACACUGGGACUGAGACACGGCCCAGACUCCUACGGGAGGCAGCAGUGGGGAAUAUUGCACAAUGGGCGAAAGCCUGAUGCAGCGACGCCGCGUGAGGGAUGACGGCCUUCGGGUUGUAAACCUCUUUCAGCAGGGAAGAAGGCUUCGGUUGACGGUACCUGCAGAAGAAGCGCCGGCUAACUACGUGCCAGCAGCCGCGGUAAUACGUAGGGCGCAAGCGUUGUCCGGAAUUAUUGGGCGUAAAGAGCUCGUAGGCGGUCUGUCGCGUCUGGUGUGAAAUCCCGAGGCUCAACCUCGGGCUUGCAUCGGGUACGGGCAGACUAGAGUGCGGUAGGGGAGACUGGAAUUCCUGGUGUAGCGGUGGAAUGCGCAGAUAUCAGGAGGAACACCGAUGGCGAAGGCAGGUCUCUGGGCCGCAACUGACGCUGAGGAGCGAAAGCAUGGGGAGCGAACAGGAUUAGAUACCCUGGUAGUCCAUGCCGUAAACGUUGGGCACUAGGUGUGGGGCUCAUUCCACGAGUUCCGCGCCGCAGCUAACGCAUUAAGUGCCCCGCCUGGGGGAGUACGGA
This 599-nucleotide ribosomal RNA is filed under the name Isoptericola sp. Its description in RNAcentral is "bacterial SSU rRNA". It matches the Rfam family "Bacterial small subunit ribosomal RNA", at positions 280 to 886 of the family's 1533-position model. The record is from RNAcentral. Lineage: Bacteria; Bacillati; Actinomycetota; Actinomycetes; Micrococcales; Promicromonosporaceae.